GACGUAGGGUGCGAGCGUUGUCCGGAUUUAUUGGGCGUAAAGAGCUCGUAGGCGGCUCGUCGCGUCGACCGUGAAAACCCGCGGCUUAACCGCGGGCUUGCGGUUGAUACGGGCGGGCUAGAGUUCGGUAGGGGAGACUGGAAUUCCUGGUGUAGCGGUGAAAUGCGCAGAUAUCAGGAGGAACACCGAUGGCGAAGGCAGGUCUCUGGGCCACUACUGACGCUGAGAAGCGAAAGCAUGGGGAGCGAACAGG
This 253-nucleotide ribosomal RNA is filed under the name uncultured bacterium. RNAcentral describes it as "partial 16S ribosomal RNA". It matches the Rfam family "Bacterial small subunit ribosomal RNA", at positions 524 to 776 of the family's 1533-position model. The record is from RNAcentral.